AAUCAACGCUGGCGGCGCGCCUAAUACAUGCAAGUCGAGCGAGAAGACGUAGCAAUACGUUUGUAAAGCGGCGAACGGGUGAGGAAUACAUGGGUAACCUACCCUAGAGUGGGGAAUAACUAGCCGAAAGGUUAGCUAAUACCGCGUACGCUCCUUGGACUUCGGUUCAGGGAGGAAAGCGAUACCGAGGGUAUCGCGCUCUUGGAUGGGCUCAUGUCCCAUCAGCUUGUUGGUGAGGUAACGGCUCACCAAGGCUUCGACGGGUAGCUGGUCUGAGAGGACGAUCAGCCACACUGGCACUGCGACACGGGCCAGACUCCUACGGGAGGCAGCAGUAAGGAAUAUUGCGCAAUGGGCGAAAGCCUGACGCAGCGACGCCGCGUGGGUGAUG
Molecule: ribosomal RNA, 391 nt
Filed under: uncultured bacterium
Lineage: Bacteria
Description: bacterial SSU rRNA
Rfam family: Bacterial small subunit ribosomal RNA
Source: RNAcentral